CACGUAGGGUGCGAGCGUUGUCCGGAAUUAUUGGGCGUAAAGAGCUCGUAGGCGGUGUGUCGCGUCGGCCGUGAAAACCUGCAGCUCAACUGUGGGCUUGCGGUCGAUACGGGCAUCACUGGAGUUCGGCAGGGGAGACUGGAAUUCCUGGUGUAGCGGUGAAAUGCGCAGAUAUCAGGAGGAACACCGGUGGCGAAGGCGGGUCUCUGGGCCGAUACUGACGCUGAGGAGCGAAAGCGUGGGGAGCAAACAGG
RNAcentral lists this ribosomal RNA (254 nucleotides) under uncultured bacterium. RNAcentral's name for it is "partial 16S ribosomal RNA". It matches the Rfam family "Bacterial small subunit ribosomal RNA", at positions 524 to 776 of the family's 1533-position model. The record is from RNAcentral.